UUUUUUUUUUUCAAUUGCUCAAGCAGUUUAAGUGACACUUGUUUUGAGUGUGAUACCAAUACAGAGGCUGGACUGUGUACCUAUGCUAUGAAGUUGAUUAGGGAUACGGAGAAUUUCUGAGCAUGUUCCUUCUUUUAAAGUGUCUGUUUGAUGUAGUAAAUGUUUGUUUGGUACUAUGUACCAAACACUAGAAGACUAUGAUGUAUAAGACAGUCUACCCAAGUUGUUCAUAGGUCAUGUUGGCCUGCCUUACUCCCAAUCCAGAUACAUAAGCAAAACGAUAGUCUGCUUUGGUAAUCAUUGCCUCACUUCUUAAUCCUCAACGUAAUAUCUUCCAUGACUCAAACCCAUGGCCACAGAUGAUUAGGCCACAGAUGGAUACAUGGCCCAGACUGGGUGAACCAGUCAAAUUCUAUUCUGAGUAUGAGAAUUAAGACUCUGAAUAUUGAAUCAAUUAGGAAUUGGGGGAACUUGGACCAAAAGGACAUGUAAAAUCAGAACUAUAAUCAACAUCUUGGUAAUUAAGCCUCUAGAAUCAAGCCCAAAAUUAAUGAUCUGAUAUUGCUUCCCACUAAGACAUCUUCUCUAAUCAUGCUACUCCCACAAACAGCUAUUCCCAUUUAUAUCUAUGGGUUUUUACUCAUUUUUUUCUCCCAUCACCUUUUCCUUUCUAAGUAAAUAAAAAAUUUUUCAUCUUUCAAGAACAACCUGAAGCCCUACUUCUUGACCAUUCUGGACAACUUAUUUCUCAGAAACUCCAGUAGUAGUGGUAAUGAUAAUUAUAAUAACAAUGGCAAUAAUAGCCUGCCUUUAUUGAGUAUAUAGUAUAUUGAAGCACUGUUUCAAGUUCCAUACAUAUAUUACUUAAUUUAUAAUAACCUCAUGAGCUAGUACAAUUAUUAUCACCAUUUUAUAGAAGAGGAAACUGAGGCAGAGAAAGUAAUUUGCCCACUAAGAUAUGGUGCAGUACAUAAAGGCCACACAUGUUAGAUUUCAUAUACUGUCUCAUCUUUACAUAUGCUCUCUCUUUUAAUCCUUAUAGCAACACUCAUAAAUAGGUUGUAUUAUCCUCAUGCUGAAGAUGAGAAAAAUGAAACUCAGAGAAAUAAAGGACAUUAUUCAAGGUUAUACAUAAGAGUAUGCAGCACUUCAAAAGUAAAGCCUGGGUAGCAUACCUACACUCCCUUGAUUCCUAAGCACUAUAUUACUUAUAAGAUUCUGACGAUCAGGGCUACAUCUUAUCCUUUUGGAUACAGUGCCCACAAAAUAAUUCAAUAAACAGAAAAUAAGAUGCUCUAAAAACAUUUUUUCUAACAAG
Molecule: long non-coding RNA, 1318 nt
Filed under: Canis lupus familiaris (dog)
Lineage: Eukaryota; Metazoa; Chordata; Mammalia; Carnivora; Canidae
Description: lncRNA (ENSCAFG00805015946.1, ENSCAFG00845029422.1)
Source: RNAcentral